RNAcentral lists this long non-coding RNA (1574 nucleotides) under Nicotiana tabacum (common tobacco). Its description in RNAcentral is "long non-coding RNA (NTAB_LNC012837)". The record is from RNAcentral. Lineage: Eukaryota; Viridiplantae; Streptophyta; Magnoliopsida; Solanales; Solanaceae.
UUAGAACUAAUCUUCUUGUUUAGAAGCAUUUUCUUUGAUGCUCUUGGCCAACCAAAUAGCUGUUUCCCUAGGAGAAACUUUUUCAGGUCCAAAUGGCUUCAAUAAGACACCAAGUUCAUCAAAUCUAUCUUCUUGCAAGAGUCUAGCACUGAACUCAAGUAGUCCCUCCAGGGCUUCGGCCCGUUGUUUAUAAGAUGACAUGUUAAAACGGCGGCGUCUUGUGUCAGAUGAGGUUCGGCUAGAUGCACCAGCAGUGGCAUUUUGAUCAGAAGAAUCAGUUAUAUCCUCUCUAUCCGCAUGCACCAUGGGGCCUUCAAACCCCCGCCAAGCAUCAUUUGAACUCAGUCUAUCAAAUUUACUGUCAGGAAUCUGUAUGGUACAUUUGUCUUUCAUAACUGAAUACUCAGCUUGUGGUGAGCCAGAGGAACCUUGCGCAGAGUUUGAUGAUGUUCGGCGUGUAGGAUGGAAAGGAUCUUCAUAUGAGGCUAAUGGAAACUCAAGCAUCUUGUCAAUUCGAGGGGCAUUGACAGAAACAUCAGGAGACUUGAUACAGUCAAGGAAACUGAGACUCGGCCUUCGAGGUAUUUCUUGAACUGCUGCCUUGUUUGUCAACGGCAAGGAUGCCCUACGAAUUGUAGAAACAGAUCUCUUCACCAAGGUUCGUGAAGCCUGUCAAGCAUAGAGUAGUCAAACAACAGGUACAGGGAACAGAUCACCAAGGGAAAUGUGGUUAAGCAGGCUAAAAUUGCAUAUUAAGUCAUAUUACAACUUAAAGCGCACAAGCUUAUAUCCAUGAUUUUCAGAACACACACACAAGAGCAACUACAUGUUAUCUUCUUCUUUUCUUUUCGUGCGCUCUCCCUCUCUCUCUUCUCUUCUACUUUCGCCCAGCUGGGCCUGAAUGCAGAUGGAGACAAGCAUGUUUAUCUACCGCUUCAACGCUUUACAUAGUCUAAGAAUCCAAAUAGAUACAGGACUAAAAUAUUAUGCAAGACGAGUAAUCCAUCACAAAUUUAGUGAUAAGAAAACACAAAAUCAUAUGAUCUUUUGCAAUGCUAGCAAGGCAAAUCAAAAACUUCUGAUUAUUUUAAAUAUUUUUUGCAAACACAUUUUAUAAUUACCAAGAGGAAAAAUGAAAGUUUAACAACAAAGCAAAGAGAAAUCCUACAAGGUCAACAACCAGAAAUUUAUUGGUUUUGGUGGCACUACGCUUAUCUGAAACGUUAUAUUGGUUGCUUAACAAAACGACAUAUUUACCUAGAGAAAAAACCUAAACUCAUAUUGCCUCCACCUCGUGUGACACAGUUUGAUUUGAUACACAAUUUAAGAUUUUAAACCCACUAUUUUAUCACAAUAAUAAUGGUGGAAAAGAAUAUUAAAUUUGUAGUUGGAAUAAUAAUUUCACUGAGAAAGCAUCUCAUCUAAGUUUAAAUUUGAAUAAUAAAAUGAUUUAAAUUCUUGACAUUUGAAUAUUAUUAUGAAUUCACGUCAAACCAUUUGGAUAUCCUACAAUAGAAAGUGUCAUACAAAUUAGGACAGCAAGAGUAAUACAGAAGAUUUAGAGAAUCCUUCAC